RNAcentral lists this long non-coding RNA (236 nucleotides) under Lathyrus oleraceus (garden pea). Its description in RNAcentral is "Pisum sativum (pea) long non-coding RNA (PSAT_LNC013234)". The record is from RNAcentral. Lineage: Eukaryota; Viridiplantae; Streptophyta; Magnoliopsida; Fabales; Fabaceae.
AAUCAGACAGUUUGGGAAAAGUCAACUGCGGGGCCAGAAAAGUCAACUCCUGACUUUUUGAGAGUGGAAUCUCAAAAUUCAUGCCUAGGGGAUCCUACAUGUGAAAUUUGAUCAAGGUUGGAUCAUGGAUUCAUCAUUUAAUCAGGAAUUGGAAAAGUUACUUAAUUUGGAAAUGGUUGACUUUCCAUUUAGGGCAAGUUUUCAUGAUUGUUGCACUCACUUUAAGCCCAUUUUCC